This is a non-coding RNA of Plutella xylostella (diamondback moth), 969 nucleotides long. The record is from RefSeq and is a predicted model, not a curated record. Lineage: Eukaryota; Metazoa; Arthropoda; Insecta; Lepidoptera; Plutellidae.
UAUAAUCGAUUAUUGAACUCGAAUCAUUUUUAUUUUUAACCAUAGCUUUUACGUAAAGUAUACUGUACCUAGUUGCUAAGUUCUACAUCUUAAUGUUUUCUACGAUAUUUAAACUUACUUAAAUGUUUAUUACUUGAUGAUACGUAAUAUAAGCAAAUUUAUAAGGGAAGAUAUUCAUAUAAAAGUAUUGAAUACUUACUUACAAAAGCACAAACCUUAUCGGUACUAAUAUAUUUACCAAAAACGAAUAUGAUUAAAAUAAAAGUGCCUACUCGGGAAUCGAUCCAUCAUCGAUUAUUUUUUCAUUAAAGCAUAGGUCGGAAGCAAGGAACAUAAGUCUUUACAAUACAAAAUAAACAUCUAUUAUUAUGUUUGUGUUUGCAAUAUGCAAUUGGAAAAUCGAUAAGGUAAGCUUGUGUGUUGAAGUUUACGUAUUAGUUUAGAGAGUUACGUAAAAUGAAAUAUUUUAAUGUUUUAUCAGUAAUCAGGCAUCAGUUAUUUACUAAAGUUUGUGUUCUAGCCCUUUCAUUUCUAAACUCCAAAGUUUUCUAAAAAUGGGUACCUGCUGUGGUGUUUGUGACUGUAUUUUAAACACACAAUUAACUGAUUAAACCUUUAUUAGCACGGAAACAAUUGAAUGCUGUUUACACUUUUUAACAUCGAAAUAUUAUGACAGAUAAAAAGGGCCAUAGAACCUUAGGAUGAGUUCCAAAUACAAUUCUACAAUCCCUUUCUUCCUUAAAGAAAAUUAAGUAAAGACAGUAAGUUACAUUGAAACAUUACAUUACCAUUACAUAAUGAUAACAACUUAACAAUUAAUUACAAUGCUACAAAACAUAUUCAAAUAAUACAACUGUAUCAAUCUAACCAUAGUUACAAAACCUAUCAGACAACCUAUACUACUAUUAUUUAUAGGUGUACUUACAAUGAUGAUUGUUCAUUAUACAGUAUACUAUGUAUUAAUCAUUU